Phaseolus vulgaris (common bean) is the source of this 84-nucleotide non-coding RNA. The record is from Rfam. Lineage: Eukaryota; Viridiplantae; Streptophyta; Magnoliopsida; Fabales; Fabaceae.
UUCAACUGUGAUGAGUCUACAGACCUGUAAUGAUUUGCGGCUAUGAUCGCAAACAUAAUUGAACAUCUAAGGGACUGAGUUGUU